CAUUCAAGUACUCAAAUACACAAAACAGUCAACAAAUACUCCUUAAACACAGGCAUUUAUUUGGAGGCCUGAUGAAACAAACAGUUGGAAGGUAACUUGUUGAACAAUCAAUUGCUCCAUAAAAAUACCCAUUCUUAAAAAAAGUACGGACAGAAUAAGCUCAAAAGAGUCUUCAGAAUGAACAAUGUAUACCAGAGCAUAGAGGCAACAAAUACAUGAAUGCAUACAACAGAACAAGUUCAUAUGUACCAAAAGACCAUAUGGAAAAAAAAUACAGAA
Molecule: long non-coding RNA, 279 nt
Filed under: Dermacentor andersoni
Lineage: Eukaryota; Metazoa; Arthropoda; Arachnida; Ixodida; Ixodidae
Description: uncharacterized LOC126538780
Source: RNAcentral